RNAcentral lists this ribosomal RNA (262 nucleotides) under uncultured bacterium. RNAcentral's name for it is "partial 16S ribosomal RNA". The record is from RNAcentral.
GGACUACCGGGGUAUCUAAUCCUUUUUGCUACCCAGGCCUUCGUCCCUCAACGUCAGUUUAUACAUAGAAGGUUGCUUUCGCCGCUACCAGUCCUUAAGGUAUCAACAAAUUUUAUCUCUACUCCCUAAAUACUCCCCUCCUCAUAUAAAACUCUAGUAAAACUGUUCCCUAUUUUGGGCUAGUAAUACCGUCUAGGUACCCUUUAAACCUAUUAAAGAUGAAUAACACUAGUCUUCUACGUAUUACCGCGGCUGCUGGCAC